GGAUUGAACGCUGGCGGCAGGCCUAACACAUGCAAGUCGAGCGGUAGAGAGGUGCUUGCAUCUCUUGAGAGCGGCGGACGGGUGAGUAAUGCCUAGGAAUCUGCCUAGUGGUGGGGGAUAACGUUCGGAAACGGACGCUAAUACCGCAUACGUCCUACGGGAGAAAGCGGGGACCUUCGGGCCUCGCGCCAUUAGAUGAGCCUAGGUCGGAUUAGCUAGUUGGUGAGGUAAUGGCUCACCAAGGCGACGAUCCGUAACUGGUCUGAGAGGAUGAUCAGUCACACUAGGAACUGAGACGACGGUCCAGACCUCCGUACGGGAGGCAGCGAGGUAGGGAAUAGUGGACAAGUGGGACGAAAGCCUGACUCCAGCCAGUCGCCGCGUGU
RNAcentral lists this ribosomal RNA (386 nucleotides) under uncultured soil bacterium. Its description in RNAcentral is "bacterial SSU rRNA". It matches the Rfam family "Bacterial small subunit ribosomal RNA", at positions 27 to 404 of the family's 1533-position model. The record is from RNAcentral.